RNAcentral lists this RNase P RNA (395 nucleotides) under Thermoflexales bacterium. RNAcentral's name for it is "RNase P RNA component class A". It matches the Rfam family "Bacterial RNase P class A". Rfam says of the family: Ribonuclease P (RNase P) is a ubiquitous endoribonuclease, found in archaea, bacteria and eukarya as well as chloroplasts and mitochondria. Its best characterised activity is the generation of mature 5'-ends of tRNAs by cleaving the 5'-leader elements of precursor-tRNAs. Cellular RNase Ps are ribonucleoproteins. The record is from RNAcentral. Lineage: Bacteria; Bacillati; Chloroflexota; Thermoflexia; Thermoflexales.
UCAAGAGAUCCAGGUGAUCGCGGGCGGACUCGAUCCGCACGAGGAAAGUCCGAACUCCACAGAGCACGCUGCCGGCUAACAACCGGGCGCAGCAAUGCGCGGAGCAGGGCCACAGAAACAGACUGCCUAAAGACCCGUCAGGGUCUGACGGCGAGGGUGAAAAGGCGAGGUAAGAGCUCACCGGCGGCGCGGUAACGUGUCCGGCCAGGCAACCCCCAGCGGGAGCAAGGUCAAGCAGCGAGUGGCAGGCCUCGCAAGAGGCCCGUACAGCGACGGCUCGUCGCCCGUCUCGCGGGUAGACUGCUUGAGCCGUUGAGCAAUCAACGGCCUAGAGAAAUGAUCGCCGCCGAUCUUCGGAUCGGUCACAGAAUUCGGCUUAUCGAUCUCUUGAGCGC